UGGCCCUCAAAUCGUCCCCUGUCGGUUCGAAUAUCAUAUCAAAAUCGUCGGAACACUUUAAGGAUGCAUGUGGAUUCCCUGGCCUCGAAAGCUUAAGCUAAGUUGCCUUUUGAGUUUUUCUGUUUGAUUGUAGUCUUUUUCUUCUGGUUUCUGUUUUAAUUUAGCCUUCUCUUUUAGUUUCUCUAUUAACCUAAAUUGUCUUCUAGUUUCUCGAUUAAUGCUAGUGUUCUUCUAGUUUCUCUGCUAAUUUUAGUUGUUUAUUAGUUUUAAUUUUAAUUUUAGUUGGCUUAGUUUCCCUUCUUUGAUCUAUGACCUUCUUGGCAGCUGUUUUAGAUGUUUUUUUAGGUUUUAAUUGGGUUUUUCUUCUCAUGAUCUCUUCUGGUUCUAUUUUUGGAUCGAUUUCUAUUCCUUUUGUUCUGAUUGACUGGUUUGAUUGAUUGUAUAUUCUUUAUGGUCUCCUGUUAAUAUGAUUUAAAUUUGUUAGUAAAUUUGGUUUUGCGUUUCGAACAAAUUCUGUUUCAUGUGAUCUCGAUAGUUAAUCAAGCUUGUGUGAGCCACUAUUUGGUUUUGAUUAGUUAAUUUAAUUCAUUCAAAAUAGAUUAUCCCAGUUUUUAUCAGUAAUUGGUUUCUAAGUUCUGUAUUUUAUCCUCAAGAAGCUAUUGAGUUAGUUUAGUUAACUUAGUUAUAGCUGAAUUAGGAUUAUUAAGAUAAUAACACGGUUAGGGUUUUGAUUAACUCAAAAUGAUAAUUUUAGUAGGUAAAAAGGGUAACAUGGGAAAUUUUGCAUGAGAAAACUAUGGUAACUAGAAUGGAAUUCUCUAGAAGCUGCUAGAAUAAGGGUCAAACUGAAAUUCAGAUUUUUGUUAGUUACAACUUGGAUAACAAGCUAAAGAUUUAGGGACUAGUAGGGCAAAUAAGAAAAUAAGAAGAGGGACUAAUGGGUAAACAUAAAAUGAUAGGGUUUACCUAAGCUUUGGAUAUAAAAGGACACCCUAAUGCCUUCAAUAAAGAGGUUCCUGGCAGACUGAAAUCCCUGAAAACUUCCCAUGACCUCUGCACUCUGAAAAUCAUAUAAAAAUCCCCAAAGUUUCCAGGAAAUCUUGAAAGAUAAUUAGAGUCUAAAACUUCCCAAAAUGCUACUUCAUUAGAGUGAUUUUCUUCAUAAUAAAUUCCAAUUCUCAACAGUUAAUUUGCAUUGCUAAUUUGAAUCAGCUAGAGAAGACUUGAAAUAUAUGUGUUUGAGGAGCUAGGAUUCCAAAUGCUUGGGUGGAUGCAAUUUUGAGUGUAUUAGGGUUAUUUUUGAGGUGUUUGGGUUGUUUUGCUGGUGUUAUUUACUCUAGAUCAAUGUACUCAUUUAUUUGAUAACUCCUACUAUUGGAAUCUAGGACUUGAGUUUGGUUUAUUUGCUUCAUUUGCUGAUAGAUUUGUUGCUGCUACUGCUCUCUUGACUGCCUACUCAUAGGUGUUUCUCCUUGCUUUCAUUCCAGGUACAUUUUUCUGAGCUCUCUCACUAUAUGUCUCAAGUGGAGGUCGAAUGACAAUGAUGCUUUGUGUUGUAAUAGGAUUAGGUUUUAUUUUGUUGUAAUUGGUGGUAAGUAACUUGGACUUUAUUGGACUCUUUUAAAAAAUAGUAAUGGAUUGAUGACAAUGAUGCUUUGUGUUAUAAUACGUUUAGGUUUUAUUUUGUAGUAAUUCGUUGUAAGUAACUUGGAUUGUACUGGACUCUUUUAAAAAACUGUAAUGGAUUGGUAUUUUUAAAUGUUUUCUUUUACUUAUUUCCUUCAUAUUAGCUUCAAUUGUCCCAAGUAGAUCAAGGGCUCAGGAAUCCUUGUAGCUAAUGUGGAGUAUAGUGUCUGUUUUACUUCAGUAGCAUGAAAUUUGGGAGUCAAGUUUUUUAUGCAAGUUCAUAUAUAUGCUCAGCUCAAGUGUGAAAACAUUU
This 1939-nucleotide long non-coding RNA is filed under the name Nicotiana benthamiana. RNAcentral's name for it is "long non-coding RNA (NBEN_LNC013999)". The record is from RNAcentral. Lineage: Eukaryota; Viridiplantae; Streptophyta; Magnoliopsida; Solanales; Solanaceae.